RNAcentral lists this ribosomal RNA (403 nucleotides) under uncultured bacterium. Its description in RNAcentral is "bacterial SSU rRNA". It matches the Rfam family "Bacterial small subunit ribosomal RNA", at positions 509 to 916 of the family's 1533-position model. The record is from RNAcentral.
CAGCAGCCGCGGUAAUACGGAGGGUGCAAGCGUUGUCCGGAUUUAUUGGGUUUAAAGGGUGCGUAGGCGGUUUAUUAAGUCAGUGGUGAAAGACGGUCGCUCAACGAUUGCAGUGCCAUUGAUACUGGUAGACUUGAGUGGGAUUGAGGUAGCUGGAAUGGAUAGUGUAGCGGUGAAAUGCAUAGAUAUUAUCCAGAACACCAAUUGCGUAGGCAAGUUACUAAGUCUCAACUGACGCUGAGGCACGAAAGUGUGGGUAUCAAACAGGAUUAGAUACCCUGGUAGUCCACACUGUAAACGAUGAUAACUAACUGUUGGCUUUCGGGUCAGUGGUACAGAGAAAUCGUUAAGUUAUCCACCUGGGGAGUACGCCGGCAACGGUGAAACUCAAAGGAAUUGACGG